This is an RNA transcript of Zalophus californianus (California sea lion), 867 nucleotides long. It is a transcript of the gene named testis expressed 51, with no coding region annotated. Lineage: Eukaryota; Metazoa; Chordata; Mammalia; Carnivora; Otariidae. The transcript has 8 exons. The record is from RefSeq and is a predicted model, not a curated record.
CACAGAGGGCAGACCCCAGAAGAUGCUGCUUCUCCUGGUUGGCUGUCUCUUGCCUGCCAUCAAUGGGAAGAGCUGCCUCCACUGCUGGCCACAACUGCCUGCAUUGAUGGACUAUGACCUGCAGAUUCUUUGGGGCUCCCCAGGGCCACCCAGAGAGCUCUCCCAAAGCCUCCGCUCCCUAUUCUUGAAAAGGGAUUAUGUCUUCUUAGAACCCUGGUAUCUUGAUCAUGACCAUAUGGAGGAAGCAACAGCCAAAUUAUUCAAUCACGUAGAUAAAGCCAUCAAGAAGUUUCGAGAUGAUAAACCAUCGCUUCUGGAAGAGAUUAAUGUCCAGAAACAGGUGUUUACUGACAGGCUGAAUCAGAUGUCUGAGAAGCUGAAGGAGAAGGCCUGCAAUAAGUCUUGUGACAUACACUCCACACUGGAGGUCAUCAAUUGUGCCAACUGCAAGACACACCUUCUUACCUGCAAAGACCCAACUCUCUGCCCAGCCAGGACCUGGAGUACCUUCCCGUGGGUUGUGAGCCUUGGCAUUAUUCUGCUUCUGGCCGCCAUAGCUGGAAGUGGAUGGUACAUUUUCUGCCACAAGAAGAGGAGGAGGGAAGCAGAAAAUGAGCUGGGAAUGGAGACCCCUGACAGAAUGUAGGUCUCCCAAGGAGGGAAAGCUGGGGGUAGCAAGGCUGGAGGCCCUAAUUCUGGCUCCCAGGGUGUGACAUCCAGAGCAGAGCGGGAUCAAGGCUGGCUCGGAAGGCCCCAUCCCCCCUUAAUGAACCGGGCAGUCCACUGGUCUGAACCAAGAUCGCAGUUGCUGUCAGGAGGCUCCCUGAUCUCUGAGUUCCAGUAACUGUCCCUUCCUUAACACCCUCC